GAUCAACGCUGGCGGCGUGCCUAAUGCAUGCAAGUCGAACGGGGUGACUUUCGGGUCACUCACGUGGCGGACGGGUGCGGAACACGUGGGCAAUCCACCCUCGGGCGGGGGAUAGCCUCCAGAAAUGGGGGGUAAUGCCGCAUACGUGGGCCGGCGAGUGGCGCCGGUUCGGAAAGGUGCAUUGCAAGAUGCGCCACCCGAGGACGAGCCUGCGGCCGAUUAGCUGGUUGGUGGGGUAACGGCCUACCAAGGCGAUGAUCGGUAGCUGGUCUGAGAGGACGGCCAGCCACACGGGGACUGGGACACGGCCCCGACUCCUACGGGAGGCAGCAGCAAGGAAUCUUCCGCAAUGGGCGAAAGCCUGACGGAGCAACGCCGCGUGCGGGAUGACGCCCUUCGGGGUGUAAACCGCUUUUCGGGGGGACGAAAAUUUGACGGUACCCCCGGAAUAAGGACCGGCUAACUACGUGCCAGCAGCCGCAGUAAAAC
This 489-nucleotide ribosomal RNA is filed under the name uncultured bacterium. Its description in RNAcentral is "bacterial SSU rRNA". It matches the Rfam family "Bacterial small subunit ribosomal RNA", at positions 28 to 526 of the family's 1533-position model. The record is from RNAcentral.